This 353-nucleotide ribosomal RNA is filed under the name uncultured Acidovorax sp. RNAcentral describes it as "bacterial SSU rRNA". It matches the Rfam family "Bacterial small subunit ribosomal RNA", at positions 1027 to 1382 of the family's 1533-position model. The record is from RNAcentral. Lineage: Bacteria; Pseudomonadati; Pseudomonadota; Betaproteobacteria; Burkholderiales; Comamonadaceae.
CCGUAACACAGGUGCUGCAUGGCUGUCGUCAGCUCGUGUCGUGAGAUGUUGGGUUAAGUCCCGCAACGAGCGCAACCCUUGUCAUUAGUUGCUACAUUCAGUUGGGCACUCUAAUGAGACUGCCGGUGACAAACCGGAGGAAGGUGGGGAUGACGUCAAGUCCUCAUGGCCCUUAUAGGUGGGGCUACACACGUCAUACAAUGGAUGGUACAAAGGGUCGCCAACCCGCGAGGGGGAGCCAAUCCCAUAAAGCCAUUCGUAGUCCGGAUCGCAGUCUGCAACUCGACUGCGUGAAGUCGGAAUCGCUAGUAAUCGUGGAUCAGAAUGUCACGGUGAAUACGUUCCCGGGUCUU